Molecule: long non-coding RNA, 513 nt
Organism: Sinocyclocheilus rhinocerous
Lineage: Eukaryota; Metazoa; Chordata; Actinopteri; Cypriniformes; Cyprinidae
Exons: 5
Source: RefSeq, a predicted model, not a curated record
UUCAUGCAAUUCGCAGUCAGUUUCUGGAAUUAGUAACGCUUGCGAUGUAAAAUUUGACAAUGAAACACUAACAUGACAAGAAAGUGAACUUUUAAAACGAGUCCAUCGUUGUAGUCUAUAACACUGACAAGUCCGGAGAGCAAAUUGUGGAAACGUUUUUUCGGUUGCCAUCGACUGACUGACGGACAGCAUCCGAAUAUUCAUUUCUACCAUCAAACAGGCAUAGCUAUUAUAAUUUGGAUCAGAGAGGAUGUGAUGGGAAGAUGAUAAUGCUAUUUGAUGACAAAGAUGGACCAUGAUUGAUUGGGAUCUUAAUUAUGCUGUCCUUGAAUGAUGAAUCUGCAAGUUCAAAACUGAAUUGAAUAUUUCGCACAUACAAUAGAGAUUUUUUGCGGGCAAUGGAAUUGGCCUAGUCUGCACCCUAAGCCUGACUCCAUAUUGCCGCCAGGUGUAGGCUGACUCCGGUAUGGACAUCGAACUGGUCAGCACCAUAGACAGACGUCCUCCACCGGU